CCUGUGAGCAGUUGUGGCUUGCAGUUUGCAAGGCAGGAGGUUUUUCAAUGGAAAUCGUGCAAGAAGAGGGUGAGUUCAAGGAAGAGAAAGGAAGCCUUGACUGUAUAGAAGAAGGGAAAACCCAUUGCUGGUGGGGAAAAGGCCGGAACAGGGCUGCAGAUCCAGUGCUCAGCUGCAAAGGAGGAGAGAGUGCCUUCCUUUUAGUUGUAUGUGGAGGAAGGGGAUUUUGAUGUACCCUGAUGAGGCCUCUCUCGAGGCUCGAAUUCAAGGAAAAAGCCACGUCUCAGCUGCAUCGAGUGAUGAAUAUCAAGUGAAAUAGCCUAUCUUCCCUAAAUGCUUACUUGGAGUCAGUAAUGGGCUGGAUGAGGAAAAACAAACUGAGGUUGAAUACAAGGAAGAUGACUGGAAGAUAGGAAGUGGCUUAGAUCUGUCUGUUCUGGAAGGGGUUACACUCCCCCAGAAAGAGUAGAGUUUUCCAGCCAAUUAAAAAUGAAGACCUUUCUAAGCCAAUGCACACACUGGAGCAGCUCUUCACUCCAACCCUGAUAUCUCAACUGCCUUCAAUCAAAAAAAAUCUCAGUCAUCGACUCUGAUUCCAAAAAAGGUGUUUUCUACCUAAGCCUGAACAGGGACUUCCAGUCCAAGACAUGGAUGAUUAUGAACUCAACAGAGCCUCCAGAGACUGCUCCACUCCCAAAAAAGGGAGACCAGAGAAGCCACAUCAACAUCACCCUUCAUUCCUGAACAUGAGGUAGAUCAUGAUCUGCUUCACUUGGAAGGCGAUACCAUCAACCCUAGCUGCUCUCCUCAACACUGACCUCCUCCAGACUGAAGAGCCUCUCCUAUACGAUACUGAUGAUACAGAAGAGAGUCUACAUGAUACCAAUACUCUCCGGGUGUCAGAGAAUCUCCUUGCCAUCGGUACUCUCCAAAACGCUCAUCGGAUUGGGUAUAUUGUGACUGAGAAAGUUGACAUUGAGAUGACUCUACAUCUGAUCAUGCCUGAUCAUUACGCUUACUUCUUCGACAACAGAUAUGGCAUUGAUCAUAGGAAAAACUAUCUCCAGCCUUGCUCUUGGGCUUCACAUCAACACCAAUCUCUGGGGAGAUUGGACCAUCCAGACACUUGGUCCCGAUCACACUCUCCUCAACACUGCAGUACUUGGUCUCAGUCAAGAGAGAAGAGAACUCAACCAUGUAAGCAGCCGGAUGUUGACUCUCUACCACCGGAUUCCUUGACUGAAGAAUCUGCCUCAGAGGAAGAUGCAGAAACAUCCCUGAACAUUGCAUCAGGUUCCACACCUUCAGAUCUAAUGGGAGAUCCAAAGCCUCUGUCUCCAUCAGAGUACCUGAAGUUCUUCACUGACCAAGUGGUCCAUAUGGCUAACUCUUUAGGUAUCCAGAUGAACAAACCUCCUAAAUCUUCUCCUGAUCCCAUUUUUGGGCCAAUUGAUGCGGCCACUUGGCACUCUAACUUCCUUCCACUGAACUCUGCUUGAAUGGACAUUGUCAAAGCUUGCUGGGGGAAACCUGCAUCGUUGCCACCUACUUCUAGGAAGCUGGAAGGUUUUUACAAGGUUCAAGUUAGGGACAGUCAGUUCCUUCUGCACCAUCCUACUCCUAACUCCAUGACAGUUGAAACUGCUCAGUUCCAAUCCAAGAACAGAAUCCUUUUGGCGCUGACAGUAUGAUUCAGUCAAUAUCUGUUGUGGUAGCUCUGCACCAGCACACGUGGAUGUGUUCAACUAGCUUGGCACCUGAAACAAGAACAAGAAUAGUGUCGUGGGCAUGCUGGAAGAGUCCGAGGAGGAGUUGGAAGUGGAGACAGAGCUGAGAGCAGAGGAGGGUGGGCAAGGACCAGAAGUUGCAAAGGAGAGUGGGUGCGACGCACAAGGAGUCAAAGAUGAGUUAGAGCUGGGUGAGGCAGCUCUUGUGGAGGAGGCAUGUCCAGUCUCAGCUGUGGAGAGGCGCCGGACCACGAGACAGCAAGAGUUAAGGAGCCGCGUGCGUAGAAGGACAGGCAAAGCUGCUGACUCAGCAACUCUUAAUUCACAGCACUGGGGGUCAGCCUACAUAAGAUGCUACCCUGCUGAUAGCAACAAGAGUUUCCUGCGAGCUAAUCGGCUGUGUUUGUGUAUUACUUGGACUGUGUUUGGAGCCUGCACUGUGUUGACCUUGCCUGUGGAUUUGGCUUUGGACUCUGUUGGAUUGAUUCGGACUGGACCUGGUUUGGAGAAUGGAUUCCUGUUAGAUUUCGCUCUUCUGCUUCUGCCUCUGUUGUGCUUCGUCUGGCUAGCCUGACAGAUUUACGACAAAGAGAGAACUUGCCUCUUGAUGGCCAGGCUCUUGUUGGAAAGGAUACAAAACGGAAAGGAUACACAAACUGAGAAAGACAGGGAAUUCUAUGAACUCUCAGCAAGCUGCCUACAAUUUUUCAAGGGGUAACAAAUAUUCCUGCUCUUCUUCUGCAACAUCAUUUUGUCCUUCCAACUACUCUCCCUCUGCCGAUCAUUCCCUUCAUCCUUCUCAGAUCUCCCAAUUUCAAAAAAGACAGGACUCAUUUGGGAAAGCCCAACAUCCCAAAUCUAAACCAUCAGUAUAUCACCAAUCUAAACCAUCGAUGUACAGCUCAUGACUCAAGGAUCUGCAAAUAUUCUUCCUUACAGCAAUGAUGUGGACUUGGGGUUUUUUGUUCAGGACUACACGACCGAUAUUUCCCCAGUAUUUCAGAAGGCAGGAUUACUACUAAAGCACAAGUUUGGCAAGACUGGUGGAUAGUAUACAACUGCUUGUCUGUAGUCUUUUGCUCCUCUUGGGGAACCCCUCCUUUCAAAGUGUCUGCAAUACAAAUUGACCACAAAAUGUUACAGGGAGAAUGUUUUGUGCCCUCCUCCUCCUCACACAACAUUGAUGUGCACAGAUACCUCAGAAGCCCUGUUCAGACAUUAUGUUGUACUAGUUCAAGAUCUCUGUACACUUGUAGAUGGUUUUCUGUGAAUGACUGUAUGGGGUUCAUUUUUAAAGGGAACCUGGGUACUGGACCCUCAAAUGUAUGAUACAGAUAGGAAGUGUACUGCUGUCCCUGUGUCCAAUGUAACAUGUCUAUCACUCUAACUGUACACAGAUCUUUGCCUGCAUACACUGUACCCUCAUUGUACAGAUAUUGAACAUAACAUACGAAUCAAGCUACUGAGUUCUCAACCUUCUGUUGAACUGUAGCAUGCUAAGAAGCAAAAUCCAUGAUGGGGCCAUGUGGAUAGGAGCAGGCUUGGUUUUGGUUUAGCUGUCACCCCACUGACGUGCCUGAGUGCGCCUCCUCACUUCCCCCCAUAUCAGUGCACCAUUUCUGUCCACUCCAAUGGGCAAACGUACAGUGCUGGACUUGGAAAGGCGAUUGCUCUGAAGGGGAAAUGUCCCUUCUAUCCAGAGGCGUCGUGUCCCAGCCCUCAGUGACAUGGAUGCAUCUGUUAUCAAGCUCAGGGUCUUGUUAGUCUCUAAUCUUGUGCUUGUUUUGUGCCUGAGUCGUCUCCUCAGGCACAAAACGAAUACUGGUGAAUGUUGAUGCUGGGGGUCUCAACAAAUUCAAUGGCAUGAGCAUUCUUAUAUACAACAAACACUAGAGAAAAAGCAAUGUUCUUUCAAGCCUGAUUCUUCACGUUGACUGUAAAAGGUUUCCGGGCCAAAUACAAAGUGCUGGUUAUAACCUAUAAAGCCCUAAACAGCUUAGGCUUACGGUAUUUAAGAGAGCGUCUUCUUCUGCAUGAUCCCCAUCGUCCCCAUCGUUCAUCAGGGGAGGCUCGUCUGUGGCUACCUUCAUGUCGUUUGGUGGCCACCCGGGGACGGGCCUUCUCUGUUGUCACCCCGAGACUUUGGAAUGCACUUCCUGUGGGAAUAAGAGUCUCCCCAUCUCUAGUGGCUUUUAAAAGGGGUCUAAAGACUUAUCUUUUUACCCAAGCUUUUUAACUUUUUAACUUUUUAAAACUUUUGAUUGUUAUUAUUUAUUUUAAAUUGUUUUCAGUAUUUGUUUGUUGUGAACCUGAGACCUUGGGUUAGGGCGGUAUAAAAAUGUGCUAAAUAAAUAAAUAAAUA
Long non-coding RNA from Hemicordylus capensis (graceful crag lizard), 4089 nucleotides. RefSeq lists it as uncharacterized. NCBI's taxonomy places the organism in Eukaryota, Metazoa, Chordata, Lepidosauria, Squamata, Cordylidae. The transcript has 4 exons. The record is from RefSeq and is a predicted model, not a curated record.